Molecule: long non-coding RNA, 1105 nt
Filed under: Theobroma cacao (cacao)
Lineage: Eukaryota; Viridiplantae; Streptophyta; Magnoliopsida; Malvales; Malvaceae
Description: long non-coding RNA (TCAC_LNC001301)
Source: RNAcentral
UUUUCUUAUAAAACAAUAUUUAUAGAGUUAUACGUGAAUAAUUUUUAUAGCGUAAAAGCUAAAUAAAUUUAUACAUACUUAAAUACAGUAAGUCAAAAUAUUUAAUUUAAUUUACAAUAACAAGAGGGCCCCCGAAUAAACAAAAGUAAAGAGGACUGUGAACCUACGGUUUGAAAAAAUACAGAUCCAACGGUAGUCCUCGAUGAGAUCAGCUAUCUACAGUCUAUAUUGAAUCUGAAAUGGGUGGAAAGGAGGGUGGUGAGAUUAUAAAAUCCCAAUGAGUAAACAUACAUCAUCAUAAACAUCUAGAGUUGAGUACAUGGAGACAAUAAAGUAAAUCAUUAUAAACUGAGUUAUAGCAUUAGAACACAUUUUGUUCAAAACACGUAAAGAGGCUUAUGAAUCUCAUAAAAAUCUAGGUUUGUACCAUAAAUCCAUUCUCGGGGACACCUUGGCCGAGGCAUCCUACCGAGACCGCCAAGGCUAUUAAAAUUCACAUUUCACAUAAAUCAUGUUUUUGUUUUGAAAACAUAGCCGUUCCUUGACGUUGGUUGAGUUCCCCCUCACGUGGUGGUUUAGCGUGAAGUGAACCCUAAACUUGACCCCAAGAGAUACCCUACACGCCUCUUCGUUCGAGGUAAGAAUAUAAUGGGGUUUACCGUGCCCCUCUAAAAGGCUGGUCCACAGAAACCCCCUACUGCAGUGAUUAAUUAAUAUAUAAUCCACCAUAUAAUAAAACUCAAUAACAUGAUAUGGCAAUUUUGUAAUUCGUAGUUUUUCAAGGUAACCAAACAAUUCGCAUUUCAAUACAAUUGCCAACUAGCCAAUCAUGCUCGAUUUAUCAUAAGCCAGUUAAUUUAAACAAUCAAAUUGCCACAAUUAACAGUCUCCGUGUACUCUAUUUUUCAAAAUCACUAUUAAUUUCAAAACAAUUUAUAAUUUAAUUUCAUUGAAACUCAUUUAUUCAUAAAACAUGAAAAUUUAUCUUUUUAAAUUCCUUUUUCCAUAGAAUUCAUGAAAGCAUCUAAAAACCACCCUAGAUAAUUAAAAUGACAGUAAGUUUACUCACAAUGUCUAGAAUGCAGACUUUCGAAGCACUCUGUCU